UGGGGAAUAUUGCACAAUGGAGGGAACUCUGAUGCAGCGACGCCGCGUGAACGAAGAAGGCUUUCGAGUCGUAAAGUUCUUUUAUAUGGGAAGAUAAUGACGGUACCAUAAGAAAAAGCCCCGGCUAACUACGUGCCAGCAGCCGCGGUAAUACGUAGGGGGCUAGCGUUGUCCGGAAUCACUGGGCGUAAAGGGUUCGCAGGCGGAAAUGCAAGUCAGGUGUAAAAGGCAGUAGCUUAACUACUGUAAGCAUUUGAAACUGCAUAUCUUGAGAAGAGUAGAGGUAAGUGGAAUUUUUAGUGUAGCGGUGAAAUGCGUAGAUAUUAAAAAGAAUACCGGUGGCGAAGGCGGCUUACUGGGCUCAUUCUGACGCUAAGGAACGAAAGCGUGGGUAGCAAACAGG
This 403-nucleotide ribosomal RNA is filed under the name bacterium. RNAcentral's name for it is "partial 16S ribosomal RNA". It matches the Rfam family "Bacterial small subunit ribosomal RNA", at positions 355 to 776 of the family's 1533-position model. The record is from RNAcentral.